Molecule: ribosomal RNA, 529 nt
Filed under: uncultured bacterium
Lineage: Bacteria
Description: bacterial SSU rRNA
Rfam family: Bacterial small subunit ribosomal RNA
Source: RNAcentral
AGAGUUUGAUCAUGGCUCAGAUUGAACGCUGGCGGCAGGCCUAACACAUGCAAGUCGAACGGUAGCACAGGGGAAGCUUGCUUCUCGCUGACGAGCGGCGGACGGGUGAGUAAUGUAUGGGGAUCUGCCCGAUAGAGGGGGAUAACUACUGGAAACGGUAGCUAAUACCGCAUAAUGUCUGCGGACCAAAGCGGGGGACCUCCGGGCCUCGCGCCAUCAGAUGAACCCAUAUGGGAUUAGCUUGUAGGUAAGGUAACGGCUUACCUAGGCGACGAUCCCUAGCUGGUCUGAGAGGAUGACCAGCCACACUGGAACUGAGACACGGUCCAGACUCCUACGGGAGGCAGCAGUGGGGAAUAUUGCACAAUGGGCGCAAGCCUGAUGCAGCCAUGCCGCGUGUAUGAAGAAGGCCUUCGGGUUGUAAAGUACUUUCAGCGGGGAGGAAGGGAGUAAGGUUAAUAACCUUAUUCAUUGACGUUACCCGCAGAAGAAGCACCGGCUAACUCCGUGCCAGCCGCCGCGGUAAUAC